This is a long non-coding RNA of Acanthochromis polyacanthus (spiny chromis), 630 nucleotides long. RefSeq lists it as uncharacterized. The record is from RefSeq and is a predicted model, not a curated record. Lineage: Eukaryota; Metazoa; Chordata; Actinopteri; Pomacentridae. The transcript has 3 exons.
GACAGAACAAGCCCAACAACCAGACUACAGACGCUGAAGGUCAGCAGCUGGAUUUUCAUCUUCAGAUUUAAAGGAGUAAAAACACAUUUUUUAUUCAUUCUAUUCAUUAAUAGAAACAAUCUAAAUAUUUUAUGGUUUCUCCUUUCAUCGUCUCUAAUAGUUCUGACCACCCACCUACCAACAUUAAAGUUCACCCACAACGACCUUUAUGAGUCACACUUAACAUUUUAUAGUUAUUUUAGUCUAGGUCUACUCUAGAACUUUCUCCAGUUGUCGGUAGGUCUGCUCUAGAACUUUCUCCAGUUGUCGGUAGGUCUACUCUAGAACUUUCUCCAGUUGUCGGUAGGUCUGCUCUAGAACUUUCUCCAGUUGUCGGUAGGUCUACUCUAGAACUUUCUCCAGUUGUCGGUAGGUCUACUCUAGAACUUUCUCCAGUUGUCGGUAGGUCUGCUCUAGAACUUUCUCCAGUUGUCGGUAGGUCUACUCUAGAACUUUCUCCAGUUGUCGGUAGGUCUGCUCUAGAACUUUCUCCAGUUGUCGGUAGGUCUACUCUAGAACUUUCUCCAGUUGUCAGUAGGUCUACUCUAGAACUUUCUCCAGUUGUCAGUAGGUCUGCUCUAGAACUUUCUU